AGAAUCAACGCUGGCGGCGUGCCUAACACAUGCAAGUCGAACGAGAAAAUGGUAGCAAUACCAUGAGUAAAGUGGCGCACGGGUGAGUAACACGUGACUAACCUACCCUUGAGUGGGGGAUAACUGAGGGAAACCUUAGCUAAUACCGCAUAAUACCCACGGGUCAAAGGAGCAAUUCGCUCGAGGAGGGGGUCGCGGCCGAUUAGUUAGUUGGCGGGGUAAUGGCCCACCAAGACGAUGAUCGGUAUCCGGCCUGAGAGGGCGCACGGACACACUGGAACUGAAACACGGUCCAGACUCCUACGGGAGGCAGCAGUGGGGAAUUUGCGCAAUGGGGGAAACCCUGACGCAGCAACGCCGCGUGGAGGAUGAAGUCCUUCGGGACGUAAACUCCUUUCGAUCGGGACGAUUAUGACGGUACCGGAAGAGAAGCCCGGCUAACUUCGUGCCAGCAGCCGC
This 459-nucleotide ribosomal RNA is filed under the name uncultured bacterium. Its description in RNAcentral is "SSU rRNA". It matches the Rfam family "Bacterial small subunit ribosomal RNA", at positions 26 to 518 of the family's 1533-position model. The record is from RNAcentral.